This 73-nucleotide transfer RNA is filed under the name Halanaeroarchaeum sulfurireducens. Its description in RNAcentral is "tRNA-Pro". It matches the Rfam family "tRNA". From Rfam's summary of the family: Transfer RNA (tRNA) molecules are approximately 80 nucleotides in length. Lineage: Archaea; Methanobacteriati; Methanobacteriota; Halobacteria; Halobacteriales; Halobacteriaceae. The record is from RNAcentral.
GGGACCGUAGGGUAGCUUGGUAUCCUUCGAGCUUUGGGUGCUCGUGACCCCAGUUCAAAUCUGGGCGGUCCCA